This 587-nucleotide ribosomal RNA is filed under the name uncultured haloarchaeon. RNAcentral describes it as "bacterial SSU rRNA". It matches the Rfam family "Archaeal small subunit ribosomal RNA", at positions 335 to 921 of the family's 1478-position model. Lineage: Archaea; Methanobacteriati; Methanobacteriota; Halobacteria; Halobacteriales; Halobacteriaceae. The record is from RNAcentral.
GCAGGCGCGAAACCUUUACACUGUACGCAAGUGCGAUAAGGGGACUCCGAGUGUGAAGGCAUAGAGCCUUCACUUUUGUACACCGUAAGGUGGUGUACGAAUAAGGGCUGGGCAAGACCGGUGCCAGCCGCCGCGGUAAUACCGGCAGCCCGAGUGAUGGCCGAUAUUAUUGGGCCUAAAGCGUCCGUAGCUGGCCGGACAAGUCCGUUGGGAAAUCUGUUCGCUUAACGAGCAGGCGUCCAGCGGAAACUGUUCGGCUUGGGACCGGAAGACCUGAGGGGUACGUCCGGGGUAGGAGUGAAAUCCUGUAAUCCUGGACGGACCACCGGUGGCGAAAGCGCCUCAGGAGGACGGAUCCGACAGUGAGGGACGAAAGCUAGGGUCUCGAACCGGAUUAGAUACCCGGGUAGUCCUAGCUGUAAACGAUGCCCGCUAGGUGUGGCGCAGGCUACGAGCCUGCGCUGUGCCGUAGGGAAGCCGAGAAGCGGGCCGCCUGGGAAGUACGUCUGCAAGGAUGAAACUUAAAGGAAUUGGCGGGGGAGCACUACAACCGGAGGAGCCUGCGGUUUAAUUGGAGUCAACGCCGG